Molecule: ribosomal RNA, 301 nt
Filed under: uncultured bacterium
Lineage: Bacteria
Description: partial 16S ribosomal RNA
Rfam family: Bacterial small subunit ribosomal RNA
Source: RNAcentral
CAGUCGCCGCGGGAAAACGUAGGGUGCAAGCGUUGUCCGGAAUUAUUGGGCGUAAAGAGCUCGUAGGCGGUUUGUCGCGUCUGCUGUGAAAUCCCGAGGCUCAACCUCGGGCUUGCAGUGGGUACGGGCAGACUAGAGUGCGGUAGGGGAGAUUGGAAUUCCUGGUGUAGCGGUGGAAUGCGCAGAUAUCAGGAGGAACACCGAUGGCGAAGGCAGAUCUCUGGGCCGUAACUGACGCUGAGGAGCGAAAGCGUGGGGAGCGAACAGGAUUAGAUACCCCAGUAGUCCCUGUCUCUUAUAU